Schistocerca piceifrons (Central American locust) is the source of this 345-nucleotide long non-coding RNA. RefSeq lists it as uncharacterized. The record is from RefSeq and is a predicted model, not a curated record. The transcript is spliced from 3 exons. Lineage: Eukaryota; Metazoa; Arthropoda; Insecta; Orthoptera; Acrididae.
AGCAAUUGAGGCGUUUUCUGGAACAAUGACUUAACUGAAAUCCAAAUCAGUCAGUAAUUCCUACAUAUUACACUAUCACGUCAUAUUGAUUGACUGAUUAAUUGUUUUAUUGGCCCAUUUCAUCAUUUUUCUACAGGAAUGAUUGAAUCUGUUUGUGUCCCAGUCCCCUGACACCUUCAUGUUCUCAUUUUGAGAGAAGUAGUUCAUGGUAUGGGACCUCAUCAUCAUCAUCAUCAGUUCAUGGUUUAUGACAUCAAAAACUUUGUGUUUACGUCAUCAAAUCGGAGGCACUGUCAUUUGGAACCAAGCUAGAUUGUUCAAGAAUGGAGUAAAACAUAAGACUUG